AAAUCUUUGCUGAUCUGUCUGUUUGUCCUGCUUGUCCCAUUGCCCUUAUUGUGUAGAAUAAUAUACUUCAUGUUGUUAUGUAGACAGAGGUCUGCCAUAAUCUGGCAGAUUUAUGAUAAAAGGUGUUCCUAGUGUCUGUUCUCUGUAAUAGUAUAUCUCUCACACUACAUCCACCAAACAUUGACCUUAUCCAACAACAAUACAGAAGAGUUUAAUUAACAAAAGAAGCUAAAGUAAAAUUUAUUGGUCAAUUCAGACCAGUUUCAAUCCUGACUGUAGAUGACAAGAUUUACAUGGAUUUACUUGCUAAGGGAUCAGCUACAUAUCUACAAAAUCAUGUCUAUAGGACGGGAAAUGUCCAGAAGGCUGACAUCUCCGGAAUUCGUGGAUAUGUGGAACAAACAUUUUCAAUCUGGGAUGCACACAAGACAGACAGGAGAGUAAAAAGGAGUUGAAUGUUGUAUGGUUUGAUCUGGCUAAUGCUUAUGGUUCUGUACCACUCGGUAGAUAGCUCCAAUCAGUUGUUGAUGAAAGCAAUGGACUUCUUUUAUAUACUGGAAGAAAAGAUUAUCUGAUGAAGAGCUGCUAUAACAAUUUCAAAAUGCAGUUCAUGGCAGAAAAUUUCACAACAGAGUGGGAUCGUCUUGAAUUUGAAAUACCUGUAGGUUGAAAAAUAUCCGCCAUUUGAGUUUGUUAUGGAGAAGCUACUUAGAUCAGCAGAUUGAUCAGAAGAAAUGGCUUGAGUGAAAUCACAUGAGAAGGCAUUAAUUGAUGAUAUAACAAUAAUAAGAGAUUAAAAUGACAUACAAAUCGUUCUGGAUAGACUGGAUGGACUUAUUACUUGGUAGAGAGUGUGGUUUAAAGCUAAUAAGUAAUGCAGUCUGUCAGUUGUCAAAGGUCAUCAGAAGAAGUUCAAAAUAGCAGGUGAAACCAUGUCAAAGGUUGAAAAGAAACCUAUAAAAUGUUUAGGACAAUGGUACACUACCUCAUUGUCCAAUAAGAGUAGAGGCAUUGAGAUCAUGGCAGAAAGAGAGGGUGGGUUAUAAGCAAUAGAUAAGUGAGGACCUCUCGGAAAAUACGAGAUUUGCUGCGUCCAGUUUGAUCUAUAUCUCCGUCUUGCGUAUAUAUUCUUGAGCAUCCGUUCUUGUGUACCAUUUCAGAUAUCUUUGCCGCCAUAACGUGUGGAUAAUUAGUUAUAUGAAGUUAAUGAGGUUUGUGCAAAUGUAGACUGUAGCGUGUAAAAUCUAGCAUGCAAUAAUUUCAACACUUCUUAUUAAUAACUGCACUUUUUGAUUCCACGUAAAUUGACAACUGAAUGUUCAAAGAAAACUUGUAAUGUGACUAGUAGCGACCUCUUUUGAAAAUGAACAAAAUAUGGCUUC
Octopus sinensis (East Asian common octopus) is the source of this 1382-nucleotide long non-coding RNA. RefSeq lists it as uncharacterized. The transcript is spliced from 3 exons. The record is from RefSeq and is a predicted model, not a curated record. NCBI's taxonomy places the organism in Eukaryota, Metazoa, Mollusca, Cephalopoda, Octopoda, Octopodidae.